Molecule: ribosomal RNA, 427 nt
Filed under: uncultured bacterium
Lineage: Bacteria
Description: partial 16S ribosomal RNA
Rfam family: Bacterial small subunit ribosomal RNA
Source: RNAcentral
GUGGGGAAUAUUGGGCAAUGGGGGGAACCCUGACCCAGCGACGCCGCGUGGGUGAAGAAAUCCUUCGGGAUGUAAAGCCCUGUUUUAUGGGAAGAGCGGAAGACGGUACCAUACGAGGAAGCCCCGGCAAACUACGUGCCAGCAGCCGCGGUAAUACGUAGGGGGCAAGCGUUGUCCGGAAUUACUCGGCGUAAAGCGCACGCAGGCUGAAUUAUAAGUCGGUAGUAAAAGGCGGGGGCUCAACUUCCGUAUAUCUAUCGAUACUGUAAAUCUAGAGUAUGUGAGAGGGAAGCGGAAUUCACGGUGUAGCGGUGAAAUGCGUAGAUAUCGGGAGGAACACCAGUGGCGAAGGCGGCUUCCUGGCACAAUACUGACGCUCAUGUGCGAAAGCUAGGGCAGCGAACGGGAUUAGAAACCCUGGUAGUCC